CCGCAUACGCCCUUCGGGGGAAAGUGGGGGAUCUUCGGACCUCACGCUAUUGGAUGAGCCUGCGUCGGAUUAGCUAGUUGGUGGGGUAAAGGCCCACCAAGGCGACGAUCCGUAGCUGGUCUGAGAGGACGAUCAGCCACACUGGGACUGAGACACGGCCCAGACUCCUACGGGAGGCAGCAGUGGGGAAUAUUGGACAAUGGGGGCAACCCUGAUCCAGCAAUGCCGCGUGUGUGAAGAAGGCCUGCGGGUUGUAAAGCACUUUCAGUGGGAAGGAAAAGCCUGGGGCUAAUAUCCCUGGGUCUUGACGUUACCCACAGAAGAAGCACCGGCUAACUCCGUGCCAGCAGCCGCGGUAAUACGGAGGGUGCGAGCGUUAAUCGGAAUUACUGGGCGUAAAGCGCGCGUAGGCGGCUGACUAAGUCGGGUGUGAAAGCCCCGGGCUCAACCUGGGAAUUGCAUUCGAUACUGGUUGGCUGGAGUCUGGUAGAGGGGUGUGGAAUUCCAGGUGUAGCGGUGAAAUGCGUAGAUAUCUGGAGGAACAUCAGUGGCGAAGGCGGCACCCUGGACCAAGACUGACGCUGAGGUGCGAAAGCGUGGGUAGCAAACAGGAUUAGAUACCCUGGUAGUCCACGCCGUAAACGAUGAGAACUAGCCGUUGGGAGGAUUAGCCUCUUAGUGGCGAAGCUAACGCGAUAAGUUCUCCGCCUGGGGAGUACGGCCGCAAGGUUAAAACUCAAAGGAAUUGACGGGGCCCGCACAAGCGGUGGAGCAUGUGGUUUAAUUCGAUGCAACGCGAA
Molecule: ribosomal RNA, 800 nt
Filed under: uncultured bacterium
Lineage: Bacteria
Description: bacterial SSU rRNA
Rfam family: Bacterial small subunit ribosomal RNA
Source: RNAcentral